RNAcentral lists this ribosomal RNA (468 nucleotides) under uncultured bacterium. RNAcentral describes it as "partial 16S ribosomal RNA". It matches the Rfam family "Bacterial small subunit ribosomal RNA", at positions 28 to 507 of the family's 1533-position model. The record is from RNAcentral.
GACGAACGCUGGCGGCGUGCUUAACACAUGCAAGUCGAACGGAAAGGCCCUGCUUUUGUGGGCUGCUCUAGUGGCGAACUGGUGAGUAACACGUGAGUAACCUGCCCUUGACUUUGGGAUAACUUCAGGAAACUGGGGCUCAUACCGGCUAGGAUCUCCUGCUUCAUGGUGGGGGUUGGAAAGUUUCGGCGGUUGGUGAUGGACUCGCGGCGUAUCAGCUUGUUGGUGGGGUAGUGUCUUACCAAGGCUUUGACGGGUAGCAGGCCUGAGAGGGUGACCGGCCACAUUGGGACUGAGAUAAGGCCCAGACUCGAACGGGAGGCAGCAGUGGGGAAUAUUGCACAAUGGGCGGAAGCAUGAUGCAGCAAAGCAGCGUGCGGGAUGACGGCCUUCGGGUUGUAAACCGAUUUCGCCUGUGACGAAGCGUGAGUGACGGUAAUGGGUAAAGAAGCACCGGCUAACUACGUG